RNAcentral lists this transfer RNA (74 nucleotides) under Bacteroidota bacterium. RNAcentral's name for it is "Bacteroidetes bacterium (sediment metagenome) tRNA-Met". It matches the Rfam family "tRNA". Rfam says of the family: Transfer RNA (tRNA) molecules are approximately 80 nucleotides in length. Lineage: Bacteria; Pseudomonadati; Bacteroidota. The record is from RNAcentral.
GGCGAGAUAGCUCAGUUGGUAAGAGCGCAGGAUUCAUAACCCUGAGGUCGCGGGUUCGAAUCCCGCUCUCGCCA